UCCGGCUUAUCACCGGCGGUUUCUUUAGAGUGCCCAACUAAAUGAUGGCAACUAAAGACGAGGGUUGCGCUCGUUGCGGGACUUAACCCAACAUCUCACGACACGAGCUGACGACAGCCAUGCAGCACCUGUGUUACCGUUCCCUUUCGGGCACGUCCACCUCUCAGCAGACUUCGGUACAUGUCAAGGGUAGGUAAGGUUUUUCGCGUUGCAUCGAAUUAAUCCACAUAAUCCACCGCUUGUGCGGGUCCCCGUCAAUUCCUUUGAGUUUUAAUCUUGCGACCGUACUCCCCAGGCGGUCAACUUCACGCGUUAGCUACGUUACCAAGUCCGUUAAGACCCGACAACUAGUUGACAUCGUUUAGGGCGUGGACUAC
Molecule: unclassified non-coding RNA, 377 nt
Filed under: uncultured Gammaproteobacteria bacterium
Lineage: Bacteria; Pseudomonadati; Pseudomonadota; Gammaproteobacteria
Description: contains 16S-23S intergenic spacer region
Source: RNAcentral